This 202-nucleotide long non-coding RNA is filed under the name Lathyrus oleraceus (garden pea). Its description in RNAcentral is "Pisum sativum (pea) long non-coding RNA (PSAT_LNC019282)". Lineage: Eukaryota; Viridiplantae; Streptophyta; Magnoliopsida; Fabales; Fabaceae. The record is from RNAcentral.
GAGAAUGUGUGUGUAUGUAUUGUUGUUGUUUAGAUGGUGGUGUUGAAGAUAAAAGAAGAUGGUGGUGAUGCGGUUUAGGAAAGGAUAAGAAUGAGUGAGGUAGAGGGAUGAAGAAGGUACGAAGAAGAAAAGAUGAUGGUGAUGACGUUGUGUGGGUAAGGAAGAGGUGAUGGUUGAUGUGUGAUGAUGGAGAAGAAAGAAA